RNAcentral lists this ribosomal RNA (440 nucleotides) under uncultured bacterium. Its description in RNAcentral is "partial 16S ribosomal RNA". It matches the Rfam family "Bacterial small subunit ribosomal RNA", at positions 338 to 795 of the family's 1533-position model. The record is from RNAcentral.
CCUACGGGAUGCAGCAGUGGGGAAUAUUGCACAAUGGGGGAAACCCUGAUGCAGCGACGCCGCGUGAGCGAUGAAGUAUUUCGGUAUGUAAAGCUCUAUCAGCAGGGAAGAAAAUGACGGUACCUGACUAAGAAGCCCCGGCUAACUACGUGCCAGCAGCCGCGGUAAUACGUAGGGGGCAAGCGUUAUCCGGAUUUACUGGGUGUAAAGGGAGCGUAGACGGCUUGGCAAGCCAGAUGUGAAAGGCUGGGGCUCAACCCCCGGACUGCUCUGGAAACUGUACGGCUGGAGUGCAGGAGAGGUAAGUGGAAUUCCUAGUGUAGCGGUGAAAUGCGUAGAUAUUAGGAGGAACACCAGUGGCGAAGGCGGCUUACUGGACUGUAACUGACGUUGAGGCUCGAAAGCGUGGGGAGCAAACAGGAUUAGAUACCCGAGUAGUC